Cyprinus carpio carpio is the source of this 1260-nucleotide long non-coding RNA. Lineage: Eukaryota; Metazoa; Chordata; Actinopteri; Cypriniformes; Cyprinidae. The record is from Ensembl.
GGAAUCUAAAAGGAACAUGGCUGCAGGCGAGGAGCAGUCUCAAAACAGCCACUUCCAGCCAGUACACACAAAUAAACCUGAACGCUGAACUUCAAGAGAACCUCGUAAAAAGAGAAUUUUUGCAAUUAAAGUCACAAUGUGAGAAUCCUUUAUAUUGACUUUAAAAUCAAGCCAGUAAUAGACAAAACCAUUAAAGUGACAGAGCCUGGAGCGACUGUGUGCUGCUUUACAAUGAAAUGGCUUGUUUUCUCAUACUUUGCUGCUGACACAGUUGCCAUAUUAGAACAAAAUAAAUGGUUAGCGUCCUUGUUAUUAUCUCUCUUAAACCCAGUUGAACGGUCUGAACGCCUGCCAUUGUUCAGUCUCUGUGAUAAGGGGCAUGUGAUUCACCACUACGGCUCAGUAAAUGAAGGAUGGAGAUGAGCCACUGACAUGAAUACCCUGCCCUUGACUGAGCCAGGAUGCGAUCUCACGACUGCAUGUGAAAGCGCUCACUGGCACGGUGCCCGUCAGAUCGAGACGUCAGAGCCGCACACACUCACGCUGGCACGGGUCCCAUCGCUGCGUCCGCCCAUGCGAGGCCACCGGGCUGUGACGUUACAGAGGGAUAAUUUUGGGAUGACGCAUGCCGGUUCUCUGCGUGGAAUCAUUUUGGCUGCAUGGUGUUUCUGGCACAUAGUCGAGCAGUUGGACCAGACCAAUCACCUCAUGCCUGUUUGACAGCCAUGGUUCUCUGAAAGCAGCAUUUGAAACUUUUGUUUUUUAAAUCGAUUUCAAGGAAACAAUCAGGAAAGUGAGACUGUGGCAAAAAGUUACAUUUUACAACAUUCAAAUGAUUUUUCUUAAACACAUGUCUGGUCUUAUGUUGCACAUUUGACAAAUGAAGACUUGUGAAACUGAAUGUGCACUUAGUAUAGCCUACUUCAGAUGUUAAAGGUGUAUAUUUAUGAACUGUACUGAUAUUUAACUGUUAAUAAACCCACUUAAGUGACUUAAAAAGAGACACUUUAAUGACUGUUUCUUUACACACUUAAGUAAAUUUUUAAAGAAUUAUCAGUUUUAAUAAUCUUUUGUCAACUUUUCAAGUACACUUAUUUUGAUUUUUUAAGCAACAUACUAAAGCAUAUGUAAAGUACUUGAUAAUAAUUGUAACAGUUUUGAACAGCAAUUUUAACUGUAUUUAUAUUAAAUUUCAUAUUUAUAUUUUAAAUCCACUGAAGUGCAACUUCAUCAUUACUAAUGUGUAAUUACAAAUAUAUU